RNAcentral lists this ribosomal RNA (497 nucleotides) under uncultured bacterium. RNAcentral's name for it is "partial 16S ribosomal RNA". It matches the Rfam family "Bacterial small subunit ribosomal RNA", at positions 28 to 507 of the family's 1533-position model. The record is from RNAcentral.
GAUGAACGCUGGCGGCGUGCCUAAUACAUGCAAGUCGAGCGAACGGACGAGAAGCUUGCUUCUCUGAUGUUAGCGGCGGACGGGUGAGUAACACGUGGAUAACCUACCUAUAAGACUGGGAUAACUUCGGGAAACCGGAGCUAAUACCGGAUAAUAUUUUGAACCGCAUGGUUCAAAAGUGAAAGACGGUCUUGCUGUCACUUAUAGAUGGAUCCGCGCUGCAUUAGCUAGUUGGUAAGGUAACGGCUUACCAAGGCAACGAUGCAUAGCCGACCUGAGCGGGUGAUCGGCCACACUGGAGCUGAGACACGGUCCAGACUCCUACGGGAGGCAGCAGUAGGGAAUCUUCCGCAAUGGGCGAAAGCCUGACGGAGCAACGCCGCGUGAGUGAUGAAGGUCUUCGGAUCGUAAAACUCUGUUAUUAGGGAAGAACAUAUGUGUAAGUAACUGUGCACAUCUUGACGGUACCUAAUCAGAAAGCCACGGCUAACUACGUG